RNAcentral lists this transfer RNA (65 nucleotides) under Mantophryne lateralis (Victoria Archipelago frog). RNAcentral describes it as "tRNA-Cys". Lineage: Eukaryota; Metazoa; Chordata; Amphibia; Anura; Microhylidae. The record is from RNAcentral.
AAGCCCCGGGGUGUAACAUGUGUAGUUGCAAACUACAAGAAGCAGAUAAUUCCUGCCGGGGCUUC